RNAcentral lists this ribosomal RNA (448 nucleotides) under uncultured bacterium. RNAcentral's name for it is "partial 16S ribosomal RNA". It matches the Rfam family "Bacterial small subunit ribosomal RNA", at positions 354 to 794 of the family's 1533-position model. The record is from RNAcentral.
GUGAGGAAUAUUGGGCAAUGGGCGAAAGCCUGACCCAGCCACGCCGCGUGAGUGAUGAAGGCCUUCGGGUUGUAAAGCUCUGUGGGGAGGGAAGAAAAAGCGGGAGAGUAACUGCUCUCGUGUUGACGGUACCUCCUUAGCAAGCACCGGCUAACUCUGUGCCAGCAGCCGCGGUAAUACAGAGGGUGCAAACGUUGCUCGGAAUUACUGGGCGUAAAGCGCGUGUAGGCUGACAUGCAAGUCGGGUGUGAAAUCCCAGGGCUCAACCUUGGAACUGCACUCGAAACUGCACGUCUUGAGUACUGGAGAGGGAAGCGGAAUUCCGGGUGUAGAGGUGAAAUUCGUAGAUAUCCGGAGGAACACCAGUGGCGAAGGCGGCUUCCUGGACAGUAACUGACGCUGAGACGCGAAAGCGUGGGGAGCAAACAGGAUUAGAUACCCUAGUACC